UUCUUAAGUGGAUUCUGCUCCGUUCUCCUUUGAGGCUCUAGAUGAGAGUUAUGAGAACAUGCAAAUUUUACUCCGUGUGAAGCACCACUGUCUUUUGUUGUAUGACAAAUGAGUUAAUCUGGAUAAGUUGCAACUUCACGACUUUAGUGCCACGAUCUUGCCCUCUUUGUAUAAAUAACAACCACUUAAAGUGAGCCAUCACUUUAAAGGGUGCAGAAAUAGUCUUUCUCUCUCAGAGCGGAGCGGUUAAAUAAUCCUGUGAUGAUUCAGCACACUUUUGCUCACAAAGUCCUUUGAUGAGGCAAAUUAUCUUAACAGUAGUUUGAUGCUUUUAUUAUGUCAGUUUCUGUGUCAUUAUAUGCAUUUGUCACAAUGCCAUUCGAGGCAAUGAGUCAAAUUAAAACUACACGUAGACUCUGAUAUACACAGAGAAUUGGGAUUUUUUUCUUUCCUAGCCUAGAGGGUUAGUCAAUUGGUCUGAGUUGCAUAACUUUGAAUUUAAUCAUAUGUGGAAGUGAGACUUUGCUUAAUUGGGCCCUGAAGGAAAAUUUUUAGAUUUUUUAUUUAUUUUUAAUUUUUUGCAGCUUCUUCUCAGAGCAGCUGUAAGCACAGGAGGUAGCAGCUCAGGAUAAUAAAAAUAAAAUAAUUGUGAAUUCAAAUAAAAUUGUGGUAUGUUAAAUGUAAUAUUGGCACACAUGGUGGGAUUGCACUUUCCCCCCAAUUACUGUAACUCUACACCUGCUCCUGCCACUACUGGCAAAACCGCCAAUGGAUGGUAAUGGUUCACAGGUGAGAGAGUGCCCAAACACCAGAUAACAGAGAGCAAUAAAAGUCAAAAAUACACAUCUCAAAUCUCAGGCGAGAGGUCAUUACAUCAUAACAUUAUAUAACAAUCAAGACCAACUGUUCAGGUAAAACAUAAAAUGUACGUGGAAUAUCUGGAGUGGAAAAAACGAAACAAAAAACCGUAGCACUGUCUUACUCGCCACAGUACAGUCAUCUACACGUUUUUUAUAGUUCUUCUAUUUUUGUUCUUUUCUUCUUUUCUUUUAAAAUAUGUAAAAACAAAAAAAAACAUAAAUUAGGUCAGGUUCAGUAAGAGCCUGUAUGUGUAGGAAGAUAUCUUUGUGAAAAAUGAUCUUCUCUCUGAGGCUUACAUCAAAGAAUUCGAGCAUCAACAUGGAUUUUGCAAUGCGAAUGAGUCUCACUUUAAUAACUACGCGCACACAGACAUUAAAUCAUACCUCUCGGCAGGUAGUUCUCCCCCUAUUUCCCCCUGCAGGAGACAUUUGGCUUUAUUUAUGUAAAAUAAAACCACUGGCUUUUAUCCAGCCUUGAGCAACGUUGUGAAAAAUAGCACUGCGUCCGAGGUUUGUUCCAGGAGCGGGAAUAUUUCAGCGGCCAGACAUUUUUUCUGAUGUAACUGUAACUGUCAGAAUGGGGAUAUUAGCCUGCUUUGUGUGCCCAUUGUAGUUUAAUGAAAGUUAAAGACCUCACCUCCGCUGUACUGAAGCUGUAAGCUAGUGGUAGUCAAUAUGUUUGCAUGCAGAGAAACAAGUACAAGCAAGUUACAGUUACAGGCAAGGACUUCAAACGGCCUCUUGAGGCUGGCUCCAAAAGCAGUUUUCACUUAUACAAGUUGGCAAGUUUUGGUCCCUUUGUGAGAAGAGAGGAUAGAGAUGAAUUUGUCUUUUAAAUGUUUGAAGCUAUGUGUUACCUUACAGGAGUAUAGGCCCUUUGAACUUGUUCAGUGUCCUCAUAAGUCAUCCUAAAGACAUCAGUAUACCUGCCACGUUGGUCACGUUGUGUGCUGCCGCUAACGUCAUGGCACACUCGCAUCCAUGUAUGCUCACCAAUACACUACAGGUAGCACUUGCAGUAUUCUCCUGAAGGAUAGGUGCCGCAACUCAGACAGUACCUCAGAAUGUCCUUGGGCAAGAUGCUAGCCCCAAGUUCCUCUCCGAUGGAUCCAUCAGCAUAUGAGUGUGUUUGAAUGUUAGAUAGAAAGCACUUAUGUAGAUAAAGCAUAGAAAGAAGUGCUUGUAUGAGUCGGCAAGUCAUGUAAAGUGGUCAGUUGGAGUACAAAGGUGUCAUUUGCCAUUACUAAUCAUUUACCCGGUCGACACAGAGGCGCAGCAGCUCUACUCUGAGCCCCUUUCAAAUGUCUAAACUCUUCAGCCUAUCACUAAGAAAGAUGUCAGCCACACUUCAGAGAAAGCUCAUUUACACCACUUCUAUCUGCAGUCUCGUUCUUUCAGUCACUGUCCAGAGCUCGUGACUAUAAGGUAGGGACGUAAAUCGACAUGCUCCUCUCUCUUUUUACCACGAUGGACCAGUACAGUGCGUGCAUCACUGCAGAUGCCGCCCCAGUCCGUCUGUCAAUCACUUGCUCCCCUCUCCCCUCACUUGUGGCAGCAUCUCAUCACUGACCCAGAGUGAGCACUCCACCCUUCCCUGGCUGAGGACCAUGGCAUCAGACUUGGAGGUGCUAAUUCUUGUUCCCGCCGCAUCACUCUUGGCCGCAAACUGCUCCAGUGCGUGUGAACUGCUGAACUACAUCAUCUGCAAUAAGCAGAGAUGAAAUUCUGGGAAGAAGAAAAAAGCAAAGAUUUCCACUGCCAGCGUCACAGCUGGGGUCAUGUUUACUGUAACUGUCUGUAAGUAGAUCAUGACAAAAGUGAUUUAUUCCUCUGGGGGUGAAAAGUGAAAAAGAGAAAAACAGAGGAAGGAAAAAAGUAGCAGAAAAAGGAUGUUUCCAUGAGUAAUUACAGUCUGGUAUCAUAAACACUCACUGACCGUGAUGUUAGUUAAAUAGAGGCAUGAAAGUGGCCUUCAUUUCACUCAGUGCAUGACGAGGUUAGUUUACGUUGUGUGGAAACCACAGAAAUCAUGGCUGGAAACUUUAUCUUUAGCUCACUAGUCUGUUCACAGCCUUACAAACAGAUCUGGUCAUCACGUCUGAUGUUGCUGAAUAACAUUCAUCGUUAUAUGAAUGGUACUCGCACCAUCGAGGCACCUCAAUAUUUGAUGCAAGGAAAUGAGCACUAAUUUGGGAGUGGUUUUGUGUUUCACAAUGGCUGCAAUUGGGUUGGGUUCAUUGAUGACAGGUGUAUUUGAUUGCACUCACAUGCAGAAAAUUGUCUUGCUGAGCCUGGAGUGGUUGCUGGACUACUCUGUACAGGAUGGGAGAACAACAGCUGAUCCCUGUUGAGGUUAUCAGCCUGUGGGGUGUAGCUGAUUUGUGGCAUAGCUAUCCCUGGCCUUGGACUAUAUUGUUUAUCCCUUUUGAAAGUGGGAGAUUCAACUUUAAUAUGAUAAAUAUUGUAGCUGCCGGGAUUGUUUCCCAUUAAUCUCAUUGAUUUGACUAAUGAAUUAUGUUUUAGAUUUAGUCUGAGAUGGUCAGAGUUAGACUCUUGCUACACAAGUUAAACUGUAAAUAUGACUUGUUACUGAUUAGGCUGAAACGUUGCCAUGGCUGUCUGAACUAAGGAAGUGCUAGUCACAUAUUAAUGGGCUAUCCUGUAUUGACAGGUUGUCUCAUUUUGUUUGUGGCUUGCAUUGCCUCAUUUUGAACGCAUCACAGUAAGUUUUCCUACAUACGUUUGUAUUAAACUUGGUUGUUUUUUGCCCUUGUUUUUUAUGUAAUAAAAAAUAUUUAGGCUUAUGUUAAAUUGUAAUUGUUUUGCCCUUUUGUACAAAGUCAAUAAAAAUUGUUAACU
This is a long non-coding RNA of Astatotilapia calliptera (eastern happy), 3719 nucleotides long. The record is from Ensembl. Lineage: Eukaryota; Metazoa; Chordata; Actinopteri; Cichliformes; Cichlidae.